Molecule: ribosomal RNA, 507 nt
Filed under: uncultured bacterium
Lineage: Bacteria
Description: bacterial SSU rRNA
Rfam family: Bacterial small subunit ribosomal RNA
Source: RNAcentral
GACGAACGCUGGCGGCGUGGAUUAGGCAUGCAAGUCGAACGGUAUCAUCCUUUCGGGGGUGAGAGAGUGGCGAACUGGUGAGUAACACGUAGGUUAUCUACCCUCAAGACGGGGACAACCCAGGGAAACUUGGGCUAAUACCGGAUGUGAGCAACUUUUAGUUGUUUGAAAGGUGGCGUAAGCUGUCGCUUGGGGAUGAGCCUGCGUCCUAUUAGUUAGUUGGUGAGGUAACGGCUCACCUAGGCAAUGAUAGGUAGGCGGCCUUAACGGGUGGUCGCCCACACUGGGAUUGAGAUACGGCCCAGACUCCUACGGGAGGCAGCAGUCGAGAAUAGUCUACAAUGGUCGGAAGACUGAUAGUGCGGCGCCGCGUGAACGAUGAAUCCCUUCGGGGUGUAAAAGUUCUUUUAUAUGUGAGCAGUGCUUCUUAUAUUAACAGUAUGGGGAGAGAGAUAUUAGCAUAUGAAUAAGCAAACGGCUAAACUCCGUGCCAGCAGCCGCGGUAAA